RNAcentral lists this long non-coding RNA (982 nucleotides) under Lathyrus oleraceus (garden pea). Its description in RNAcentral is "Pisum sativum (pea) long non-coding RNA (PSAT_LNC021388)". Lineage: Eukaryota; Viridiplantae; Streptophyta; Magnoliopsida; Fabales; Fabaceae. The record is from RNAcentral.
UAACAUUGUACCUUCGUUACUUUUUUAUUAUUAUUUUAUAUAUAUACGACGACACUAUAAAUAAGCAAGUUAUCAAAUAUCUGAAUUCAAAACACAAUUACACUAAACCAUUUCAGCUCAGGUUUGCACACUUUGACAAAGUAAACCUCACUGCAAUUUGAAGUCACACCUCGCUUCAUAUAGUGGAAAUUAAGUAAAUUUUUGAUGGUUUUGAUUUCAUCCUUCUUCAACUGUUUUGGUAUCUCUUCAAACUCAUCAUCUCAAGUUUCUGAUUAUGAUGAAAAACCAUCUCAAUCCAAAAGUUCAUCUUCAGAGAAACCAAAGAGAAAGGAAAAAUUAAUUAAAGGAGCUCCAAUUGUAGUUUACCAUUUCCCUGUUAACUCUUAUCUCUCACGUUUGUAAUUAUGCGGUAUUAAUCUUUAUCCACUUCUUAUCAAGACUAUAGCAAUCAAUUAUUUAUUUAUUUACCGAUUUUUAUAAUUAGUUUAAAAGUAGUAAUCUCCAUGGUGACUUGAUUCACAAUAAUCGAGGGUAUUCAAGUCAUUCCACAAAAAUCAUAAAUAGCCACAAAAUUUACAUAGAAACUUUUAACAAACGAUAGUAUAUUUAAUGACUAAAGCAGCACAAUUCAAACAUUAUGUAAGAAUUAGAAAACCAAUUAUCUAGUAUAACCUUUCUACAUGUAUAGCAGCGCGAUCCAAAAUUUCUGUCGAGUAAUAGCUGUUAAAAAAUUAAUCGUAAAUUAUAAUAUUAAAUCGAUCAAUUUCAUUGUAGUAUUUUAAACAUUUUAAAAUUGUUUUAGUGUCGAUGCACAAGAAUGUUUAGGAUAAUUUAGUCUAUUUCGAGUUUGCAUAAGAAUGAUAAAAACUCGAAUAUAGGGAUUAGAAGAUAAAAUAUAAAAUUUGUAGUGAAGAAUAUGUAUUUUUGUUAUAUUAUUUUUAGAAUCCGAAAUUAUGAAUUUAUAGGUAGUGUUGUUUCAAAA